This 496-nucleotide ribosomal RNA is filed under the name uncultured bacterium. RNAcentral describes it as "partial 16S ribosomal RNA". It matches the Rfam family "Bacterial small subunit ribosomal RNA", at positions 28 to 506 of the family's 1533-position model. The record is from RNAcentral.
GAUGAACGCUGGCGGCGUGCCUAAUACAUGCAAGUCGAGCGAACAGACGAGGAGCUUGCUCCUCUGACGUUAGCGGCGGACGGGUGAGUAACACGUGGAUAACCUACCUAUAAGACUGGGAUAACUUCGGGAAACCGGAGCUAAUACCGGAUAAUAUAUUGAACCGCAUGGUUCAAUAGUGAAAGACGGUUUUGCUGUCACUUAUAGAUGGAUCCGCGCCGCAUUAGCUAGUUGGUAAGGUAACGGCUUACCAAGGCAACGAUGCGUAGCCGACCUGAGAGGGUGAUCGGCCACACUGGAACUGAGACACGGUCCAGACUCCUACGGGAGGCAGCAGUAGGGAAUCUUCCGCAAUGGGCGAAAGCUUGACGGAGCAACGCCGCGUGAGUGAUGAAGGUCUUCGGAUCGUAAAACUCUGUUAUUAGGGAAGAACAAAUGUGUAAGUAACUAUGCACGUCUUGACGGUACCGAAUCAGAAAGCCACGGCUAACUACGU